GACAGAGGGUGCAAACGUUGCUCGGAAUCACUGGGCGUAAAGGGCGUGUAGGCGGGAAGCUAAGUCAGGUGUGAAAUCCCCAGGCUCAACCUGGGAACUGCACUUGAAACUGUCUUUCUUGAGUGUCGGAGAGGAAAGUGGAAUUCCUGGUGUAGAGGUGAAAUUCGUAGAUAUCAGGAGGAACACCGGUGGCGAAGGCGGCUUUCUGGACGACAACUGACGCUGAGACGCGAAAGCGUGGGGAGCAAACAGGAUUAGAUACCCUGGUAGUCCACGCUGUAAACGAUGAACACUAGGUGCUGCGGGUAUUGACCCCUGCAGUGCCGAAGCUAACGCAUUAAGUGUUCCGCCUGGGAAGUACGGUCGCAAGACUAAA
Molecule: ribosomal RNA, 376 nt
Filed under: uncultured bacterium
Lineage: Bacteria
Description: bacterial SSU rRNA
Rfam family: Bacterial small subunit ribosomal RNA
Source: RNAcentral